GCUCGGGUGGCGGAAUUGGUAGACGCGCUAGACUAAGGAUCUAGUGGGGCGACCUGUACGGGUUCGAGUCCCGUCUCGAGUA
Molecule: transfer RNA, 82 nt
Filed under: Akkermansia sp.
Lineage: Bacteria; Pseudomonadati; Verrucomicrobiota; Verrucomicrobiia; Verrucomicrobiales; Akkermansiaceae
Description: tRNA-Leu
Rfam family: tRNA
About the family: Transfer RNA (tRNA) molecules are approximately 80 nucleotides in length. Their secondary structure includes four short double-helical elements and three loops (D, anti-codon, and T loops).
Source: RNAcentral